RNAcentral lists this ribosomal RNA (256 nucleotides) under uncultured bacterium. RNAcentral's name for it is "partial 16S ribosomal RNA". It matches the Rfam family "Bacterial small subunit ribosomal RNA", at positions 524 to 776 of the family's 1533-position model. The record is from RNAcentral.
UACAGAGGUCCCAAGCGUUGUUCGGAUUCAUUGGGCGUAAAGGGUGCGUAGGCGGCGCGGGAAGUCGGGUGUGAAAUCUCGGAGCUUAACUCCGAAACUGCAUUCGAUACUGCCGUGCUUGAGGACUGGAGAGGAGACUGGAAUUUACGGUGUAGCGGUGAAAUGCGCAGAUAUCAGGAGGAACACCGAUGGCGAAGGCAGGUCUCUGGGCCUGACUACUGACGCUGAGAAGCGAAAGACAUGGGGAGCGAACAGG